GUUUCUGUGGCGCAAUCGGUUAGCAUGUUUGGCUGUUAACUGAAAGGUUGGUGGUUCAAGCCCACCCAGGGACU
RNAcentral lists this transfer RNA (74 nucleotides) under Danionella translucida. It matches the Rfam family "tRNA". From Rfam's summary of the family: Transfer RNA (tRNA) molecules are approximately 80 nucleotides in length. Their secondary structure includes four short double-helical elements and three loops (D, anti-codon, and T loops). RNAcentral also lists the same sequence under 1 other name. The record is from Rfam by way of RNAcentral. Lineage: Eukaryota; Metazoa; Chordata; Actinopteri; Cypriniformes; Danionidae.